GACAUUCCUUGUUGAGAGAUUCCGCGUACAGGAGGAAAGAAAAGUCUUCCUGCCCAAGUCCUGCAGGAGGUUUGAGUUUAAAAAUAUUCCUCGAGACAGAGACAUCAGGUUCUCGUCGUUGCCAACUACAAUGAAGUCCCUCCGCGUGACCAUCAAGUGCAUGUUAUGUCUGUGGAUCUUGGCAGUCGCCUUGGUGGCCCCUCCCGCUGACAGUUCGCCAGUCCCCGGUCUUUCCGCCAUGGCCCAGUCCGGAAACAGAGACGACCGCACCUUCUUCUCCUUCCCUUUUGCCCUGACCGGCUUCCAGCCCCGGGAAUCAUCAGGCCCUAGGGUCAGACCUCAGAAGAAAGCUCACACUAGACCCCGACCGUACUACAAGGGCAACAAGAAGCUUCUUAGCAAACGCCAGGGGCGCUAGGACUCGAUAACCCGCUAUUUAUGAUAAGUUCUGUAAGAUAAGAACCUAGGUUACGCUCUCUUAUUUUUGAGAAAUUGGAAAAUAAAUAUCUUUUCGUUUUUUA
Macrobrachium nipponense is the source of this 521-nucleotide long non-coding RNA. RefSeq lists it as uncharacterized. Lineage: Eukaryota; Metazoa; Arthropoda; Malacostraca; Decapoda; Palaemonidae. The transcript has 3 exons. The record is from RefSeq and is a predicted model, not a curated record.